AUCGGUCCUCGGUAGUGGCCGCCGGAAGGCAUGGGUUCCCCUCGUCAUUCCGGCUGCUUCGAUCGAAGGCCGUC
Non-coding RNA from Gordonia araii NBRC 100433, 74 nucleotides. NCBI's taxonomy places the organism in Bacteria, Bacillati, Actinomycetota, Actinomycetes, Mycobacteriales, Gordoniaceae. The record is from Rfam.